ACUGAGCCCACAUGCCCUCCAGGGCAUAGAUAUGAUGGUUACCUCAAGUGCAGACUUGUAAUUCUUUGAUUGACCAUACCUGGGAUAAUGUGAAGCUGCUGAGGAAUGCUGAGGAAUGUGCUGAACUACUUACCACCUGCUAUGAUUAUUCUGGACAUCUGAUUCUUCUCUACCACUUAAAUCGUACUAUUGACUGUAUUUAAUGUAAUAAAUUGUACCUAAUAAUAAACCGAUUGUGUCAUUGC
Molecule: long non-coding RNA, 245 nt
Organism: Homalodisca vitripennis (glassy-winged sharpshooter)
Lineage: Eukaryota; Metazoa; Arthropoda; Insecta; Hemiptera; Cicadellidae
Exons: 2
Source: RefSeq, a predicted model, not a curated record